Molecule: ribosomal RNA, 249 nt
Filed under: Morganella morganii
Lineage: Bacteria; Pseudomonadati; Pseudomonadota; Gammaproteobacteria; Enterobacterales; Morganellaceae
Description: partial 16S ribosomal RNA
Rfam family: Bacterial small subunit ribosomal RNA
Source: RNAcentral
UAAUUGAAGAGUUUGAUCAUGGCUCAGAUUGAACGCUGGCGGCAGGCCUAACACAUGCAAGUCGGGCGGUAACAGGGAGAAGCUUGCUUCUCCGCUGACGAGCGGCGGACGGGUGAGUAAUGUAUGGGGAUCUGCCUGAUGGCGGGGGAUAACUACUGGAAACGGUAGCUAAUACCGCAUAAUGUCUACGGACCAAAGCGGGGGACCUUCGGGCCUCGCGCCAUCAGAUGAACCCAUAUGGGAUUAGCU